UACGGGGGGAGCAAGCGUUGUUCGGAUUUACUGGGCGUAAAGGGCGCGUAGGCGGCGUGACAAGUCACUUGUGAAAUCUCCGGGCUUAACUCGGAGCGGUCAAGUGAUACUGUCGUGCUAGAGUGCGGAAGGGGCUACUGGAAUUCUCGGUGUAGCGGUGAAAUGCGUAGAUAUCGAGAGGAACACCUGCGGCGAAGGCGGGUAGCUGGGCCGACACUGACGCUGAGGCGCGAAAGCUAGGGGAGCGAACAGG
This 253-nucleotide ribosomal RNA is filed under the name uncultured bacterium. RNAcentral's name for it is "partial 16S ribosomal RNA". It matches the Rfam family "Bacterial small subunit ribosomal RNA", at positions 524 to 776 of the family's 1533-position model. The record is from RNAcentral.